AUCGUCACGUGAAACGCGUGCAAAACUAAUGAUGCACUGUGAUAUGUCCUCCUAUUAUGUAUGUAUCUGCUCUUUCCGUUGAUCACUGCAUUGCGCAGCAACGCAUGCAGUUCGCGUGCGCCGAUUCAGAAGGAGAAUUUACGAUAAGAAGUAAAGAAUUUUCAUAGAUUGAUCGUAAAUCUACUGGUUCGAUAAGAAACUAGGUCUUUAAAGUAGCAUGUAUUUUGUUAUCUUAUAUAUUACUAUAAUUUCUUAAUAGUUGCACAAACGUAGCUUCGUAUAUACGAAAUUCUAUGCGUUCUAUAGAUUGAUCAUAGACAAUCGUUUCAGGAUAAACGAAUAUUGAGAUGAGAUCAAUGGUGAUUGAAAGGGGGCGCGAAAAAUUGGACUCACCGUGAUGAAUAGUCGACAGCAGAACCACGAGGACGAGGGUGACGAUCGGCGCGAGACGGUUUGCAAUCAUGAUCACGAUCACCGGACCAUGUGUUUCAGGCUAAUCACGUUGCAGUCAGUCACUUCGGACGUGUUGCCUCCACCCU
This is a long non-coding RNA of Bombus impatiens (common eastern bumble bee), 539 nucleotides long. RefSeq lists it as uncharacterized. The transcript has 2 exons. NCBI's taxonomy places the organism in Eukaryota, Metazoa, Arthropoda, Insecta, Hymenoptera, Apidae. The record is from RefSeq and is a predicted model, not a curated record.